AUGUUGCCGCCGGCCUCUGUCUCGCCGGAGUCCCGAUUGUUCGUUCCCCCAUGUCUGUUGCGCGCAGACGCCAUGGUGAUGCAUGCAGCAGCCGCGCCUCCUUCCGCCCCGGCUAUGCCACCCCCUCCUAGCCAGUCACUCCAGCGACGACGCGGCGGCGGCCGGGUCCAGACAGUAUGGCGCGGCGGUGUCCAAAUCCAGGGCGGCGAAGAUACACAGCAUUUCCCGCCGGACCAAGCAGGUUUGUCUCCUGUCCUCUCCCACCCCCAUCUCACUAACAGCCGCGGCCACUUGCAGCUAGCUGCUUCAGAGUUGAAGUCGUCUUCCAGCAGCGACGCCCUGCUACAGCCUCGACAGCAGAACCUCGGCACCUCCCCCGCGAGCACCGCCCAAGGAAGCCACAACCCUCGCAUGUGA
RNAcentral lists this ribosomal RNA (417 nucleotides) under Triticum aestivum (bread wheat). RNAcentral describes it as "partial small subunit ribosomal RNA". Lineage: Eukaryota; Viridiplantae; Streptophyta; Magnoliopsida; Poales; Poaceae. The record is from RNAcentral.